ACGGAGGGAGCUAGCGUUGUUCGGAAUUACUGGGCGUAAAGCGCACGUAGGCGGCUUUGUAAGUUAGAGGUGAAAGCCCGGGGCUCAACUCCGGAACUGCCUUUAAGACUGCAUCGCUUGAAUCCGGGAGAGGUGAGUGGAAUUCCAAGUGUAGAGGUGAAAUUCGUAGAUAUUCGGAAGAACACCAGUGGCGAAGGCGGCUCACUGGACACAUAUUGACGCUGAGGUGCGAGAGCGUGGGGAGCAAACAGGA
This 253-nucleotide ribosomal RNA is filed under the name uncultured prokaryote. Its description in RNAcentral is "partial 16S ribosomal RNA". It matches the Rfam family "Bacterial small subunit ribosomal RNA", at positions 525 to 777 of the family's 1533-position model. The record is from RNAcentral.